Molecule: long non-coding RNA, 816 nt
Filed under: Sus scrofa (pig)
Lineage: Eukaryota; Metazoa; Chordata; Mammalia; Artiodactyla; Suidae
Description: lncRNA (ENSSSCG00070004439.1)
Source: RNAcentral
ACCACCAGCUCAGGAGACACAGAAUGGCUCCCUGUCCCUUGCGCAGAGCCCUCCCGGGAACGCCAAAAGGAAGCAGGGCACGCCUGCAGGAAGCUCCUACUGGCUCAAGUCUGGACUUUAAGUGCUUCCAUAAGGAUAACAACUGCCAGGAAUGGAACUUCAAGAGAUUAUUUUGGCAAGUCUUGAGUUCCCGAUGCUCUUUCAUUGCAAAGUAACUCCUGGAUCACGGCUGGUUUUGUUUGUGGUCGGUUUCCUGGUGGUUUUGGAGGCUGAGGAUGAUCUCCACCCCUGGGGAAUUCAGGGGAAGCGUGGACCCUGAACCUCGGUACUCUGUCCUGCUACCCUUGGACGUGCCCCUUCACCAAAGGGCAGCCAUGGCACGAGGACCCUUAGGACACCAGGGACACAGCUAAGAACUGGAAGCGAAAGGAAACGAGGGAAGCAGUAUGUCCUCACCUCCACCACCACUGCCAAGGCACUGCCAAAGCUGUCCUGGACCUAGGGCACGGAGGGGUGCUUCGCUGGGACUUGGCGGCCUUCCAGGACUGACCAGGAGACACAAGGUGCCUAGAGACCAGGGGACACACCAGCAGGCAGAUCCCUGCCACGAGGGUCCCUCCUGAGUGCCACCAAGGGCUCUGACCCAAGAGUAGACCUGCCUGGGGGUGGGGGGCAGGGUGUGCAGAGAGAAGGCAAGAGGGGAGGAGGCGGGGCCACGCGCCCGACGACACCCGAGCAGAGCAGGUCCUGUCCUGGGCACAUUCAUGGGACGGGACAGGACAGGACAGGACAGGACAGGACAGGACAGGACAGGGA